CACCAUCUCUCUCUCUCUCUCUAGUCUCUUGUAAAGACUUCUGCCUCUUCCCUUUCUCAAACGAGUCCCUUCAUCUUCUCCGACGACCUUCUCCAACGGAGACCAUGGAUUCCUCACCCCCUUCCACCAUUAGACCAUGGGGUUUUAAGGUUCUGAAGCAUAACCUUGAUGGUUCUCUUUCAGAAUUUCUCAGAUCUUCAUUUCUAUGGCUACUCCGUCCUGUACCGGCGUACCCAAGGCGUUAGAAUCCUUUUUUGACCUCUUCGACUCAGGAUCAAACCUUCUACCAAUGUCUUUCUCGCUUAUAGGUUUAUCCGAAACCUUAAGUUGUUCGAGAUUUUUUCUCUAUUUAUUUUCUUAGAUCUAUGGCAUAUUUUUGUUCUAC
This 385-nucleotide long non-coding RNA is filed under the name Nicotiana benthamiana. Its description in RNAcentral is "long non-coding RNA (NBEN_LNC007077)". Lineage: Eukaryota; Viridiplantae; Streptophyta; Magnoliopsida; Solanales; Solanaceae. The record is from RNAcentral.